This 1342-nucleotide ribosomal RNA is filed under the name uncultured bacterium. RNAcentral's name for it is "bacterial SSU rRNA". It matches the Rfam family "Bacterial small subunit ribosomal RNA". The record is from RNAcentral.
AGAGUUUGAUCCUGGCUCAGAACGUACGCUGGCGGCACGCCUAACACAUGCAAGUCGAACGCAGUAGCAAUACUGAGUGGCGAACGGGUGAGUAUAAUGUGGGUAUCUGCCUUUUGGUUUGGAAUAACACGAGGAAACUUGUGCUAAUACCGAAUAAGCCCUUACGGGGAAAGUUUUAACGCCGAAAGAUGAGCCCGCACUUGAUUAGCUAGUUGGUAGGGUAAUGGCUUACCAAGGCAACGAUCAAUAGCUGAUCUGAGAGGAUGAUCAGCCACAUUGGGACUGAGACACGGCCCAAACUCCUACGGGAGGCAGCAGUGGGGAAUCUUGCACAAUGGGGGAAACCCUGAUGCAGCGAUGCCGCGUGAGUGAAGAAGGCCUUUGGGUUGUAAAGCUCUUUCGUCGGGGAAGAAAAUGACUGUACCCGAAUAAGAAGGUCCGGCUAACUUCGUGCCAGCAGCCGCGGUAAUACGAAGGGACCUAGCGUAGUUCGGAAUUACUGGGCUUAAAGAGCACGUAGGUGGUUAAAAAAGUUGGUGGUGAAAUCCCAAGGCUCAACCUUGGAACUGUCACCAAAACUUUUUAGCUAGAGUGUGAUAGAGGUAAGCGGAAUUUCUAGUGUAGAGGUGAAAUUCGUAGAUAUUAGAAAGAACACCAAUUGCGAAGGCAGCUUUCUGGAUCAUUACUGACACUGAGGUGCGAAAGCAUGGGUAGCGAAGAGGAUUAGAUACCCUCGUAGUCCAUGCCGUAAACGAUGUGUGCUAGACGUUGGGAAUUUAUUUUUCAGUGUCGCAGCAAAAGCGAUAAGCACACCGCCUGGGGAGUACGACCGCAAGGUUAAAACUCAAAUGAAUUGACGGGGACCCGCACAAGUAGUGGAGCAUGUGGUUUAAUUCGAAGAUACGCGCAGAACCUUACCAACACUUGACAUGUUCGUCGCGACUCUAAGAGAUUAGAGUCUUCGGUUCGGCCGGACGAAACACAGGUGCUGCAUGGCUGUCGUCAGCUCGUGUCGUGAGAUGUUGGGUUAAGUCCCGCAACGAGCGCAACCCUUACUUUUAGUUGCUACCAUUAAGUUGGGCACUCUAAAAGAACUGCCAGUGAUAAGCUGGAGGAAGGUGGGGAUGACGUCAAGUCCUCAUGGCCCUUACGUGUUGGGCUACACACGUGCUACAAUGGUACUCACAAUGAGAUGCGAAGAGGCGACUCUAAGCUAAUCCCAAAAAAGUACCUCAGUUCGGAUUGCACUCUGCAACUCGAGUGCAUGAAGCUGGAAUUACUAGUAAUCGUGGAUCAGCGCGCCACGGUGAAUACGUUCCCGGGUCUUGUACACACCGCCCGU